RNAcentral lists this long non-coding RNA (237 nucleotides) under Ananas comosus (pineapple). RNAcentral's name for it is "long non-coding RNA (ACOM_LNC036854)". Lineage: Eukaryota; Viridiplantae; Streptophyta; Magnoliopsida; Poales; Bromeliaceae. The record is from RNAcentral.
UUGAUAGAAAACGGCUCAUAUCGACUAUUAAAAUUAUAAAUUUUGAAACCCUUUGAUCAUUAGGUAAAUGAUGUCGAAAAGAUUUGAAAUUUAAUUUCUAAACAUUUUAAGUGGUAAGAUCAUAUUCAACGGUGCCAAUCGUCGAUUCGAAGGCUCCAUCAUCGAAAACAAAUGACUGCCAAUGGAAUCCGUUUGCUAUCGAUGGUAUUCUAACUCAAUUCUAUAUAUAUGUAUAUA